This 2505-nucleotide ribosomal RNA is filed under the name Ligia oceanica (common sea slater). RNAcentral's name for it is "bacterial SSU rRNA". It matches the Rfam family "Eukaryotic small subunit ribosomal RNA". Lineage: Eukaryota; Metazoa; Arthropoda; Malacostraca; Isopoda; Ligiidae. The record is from RNAcentral.
UACCUGGUUGAUCCUGCCAGUAGUCAUAUGCUUGUCUCAAAGAUUAAGCCAUGCAUGUCUAAGUACAGGCCUACCUAAGGCGAAACCGCGAAUGGCUCAUUAAAUCAGUCAUGAUUCAUUGGAUGUAGAGUAAAAGAUAUUUUCCAAGGAAAAAUUUUUACUCGGAUAACUGUGGUAAUUCUAGAGCUAAUACAGGCAAUUGAGCUCCGACCCCUUCCCGCCGGCAAGUAGAGGAGUUUUCUCUCCUCCAACUACCGACGACGAGGGGGGAAGGGCGCUUUUAUUAGAUUCAAAGACCGAUAAGGCGCGGCGACUCCGGUCCCCGCCGAAUCAAAAGGUUAAUGAUGACUCUGAAUAACCAAGCCGAGCGCUGAGGUCUUAGUACCGGCGCCGUAUCCUUCGAGUGUCUGCCUUAUCAGCUUUCGAUUGUAGGCUAUACGCCUACAAUGGCUGUAACGGGUAACGGGGAAUCAGGGUUCGAUUCCGGAGAGGGAGCCUGAGAAACGGCUACCACAUCUAAGGAAGGCAGCAGGCACGCAAAUUACCCACUCCCGGCACGGGGAGGUAGUGACGAAAAAUAACGAUGCGGGACUCUUCCGAGGCCUCGCAAUCGGAAUGAGUUCGCUUUAAAUCCUCGAACGAGGAUCCAUUGGAGGGCAAGUCUGGUGCCAGCAGCCGCGGUAAUUCCAGCUCCAAUAGCGUAUAUUAAUGUUGCUGCGGUUAAAAAGCUCGUAGUUUGACUUCCAAAACUCGGUCCGGGGGGGCCAGCCGUCGUGGGCGCGCGGGCGAGUCCGCGCGUCGAAGUCGCCGUCCUCGCCUUCGCCGUUCGUUUCGCGUACGCGCGCGAGCGUUCGCUUCGCCCAUUCGUGGGCGUUCGCGCGCGUCUUCGUCGUCGCUGCCCGAUUCGUCUCCGGCGGAGAUCACGAGUUCGAGCGGUCCCUCGGCGUGGCGUAUCGAUUCUCGCGUCGUCCGCGGCAGGGCGGCCCUCCCCCGGCCCCCGAGUUACUUAAGACCCGUCGGCACUCACGGGGUGCUCUUCACCGAGUGCCCCGCGUGGCCGACAAUUACACUGUGAAAAAAUUAGAGUGCUCAAAGCAGGCUCAGUAAAAUAAAUGCCUGAAUGGUGGUGCAUGGCAUGUUAGAACAGGACCUCGGAUCCGUUAAAUUUAUAAACUUUCUCCUAUCGGUCUUUUAAAGACCCGAGGUAAUGAUUAAUGGAAGCGGACGGGGGCAUUAGUAUUGCGUCGCUAGAGGUGAAAUUCUUGGACCGUCGCAAGACUAACUAGUGCGAAAGCAAUUGCCAAGAACGCUUUCAUUAAUCAAGAACGAAAGUUAGAGGAUCGAAGGCGAUCAGAUACCGCCCUAGUUCUAACCGUAAACGAUGCUAACUGGCGAUCCGCCGGAGUCGCAUUCAUAGAGACUCUGCGGGCAGCCCCCGGGAAACCGAAGUCUUCGAGUUCCGGGGGAAGUAUGGUUGCAAAGCUGAAACUUAAAGGAAUUGACGGAAGGGCACCACCAGGAGUGGAGCCUGCGGCUUAAUUUGACUCAACACGGGGAACCUCACCAGGUCCGGGCACCGAAGGAUUGACAGAUUGAGGGCUCUUUCUCGAUUCGGUGGAUGGUGGUGCAUGGCCGUUCUUAGUUGGUGGAGCGAUCUGUCUGGUUUAUUCCGAUAACGAACGAGACUCUAACCUGCUAACUAGUCGGCGGAUCGCAUCCCCGCGACCCGCGUUGCGCUUUCACUGGGGCUUGUUCGCGAGUGGAAUAACGGCGCCCUUUGCCUCUUCCNUUCUCUCGGUCUCGGCGUUCCGUCGCGGCGGAGGAGCGGCGCUAGGUGGUGAGGGGGUGGGGGAGUGGGAUGCGGCAUGGGGAGGCGGUGGCUCAGGUCGCCGUCUUCCCCUUGUCGUACUCCCGCUCUUCUUCUCCCUUUUCCACCUUCGUCCCCCCUUUCGUCGUUGCGGGUCAUCCGUCGUGGGUUCGGGUUUGGGGAUUGGGUUCUGGGCGUCGCCUCUCCCCCCUUUGGAGGACGGCGCGGCCGGGGACGUCCGUCGCAACUUCUUCUUAGAGGGAUAAGCGGCGUCUAGCCGCACGAGAAAGAGCAAUAACAGGUCUGUGAUGCCCUUAGAUGUUCUGGGCCGCACGCGCGCUACAAUGAAGGGAUCAGCGCGCUUUCCCCCUCCGAAAGGAGCGGGUAACCGAAUGAAACCCCUUCCCGAUAGGGAUUGGGGAUUGCAAUUGUUUCCCAUGAACGAGGAAUUCCCAGUAAGCGCGAGUCAUUAGCUCGCGUUGAUUACGUCCCUGCCCUUUGUACACACCGCCCGUCGCUACUACCGAUUGAAUGAUUCGGUGAGGGCAUCGGACUGGCGCCCUCGAAGCGCCGGCGGCGGCCCAAACGCCGUCGUCGUGUCGCUCCCGGGCUGACGGAAAGAUGUCCGAACCCGAUCAUUUAGAGGAAGUAAAAGUCGUAACAAGGUUUCCGUAGGUGAACCUGCGGAAGGAUCAUUA